Molecule: small nucleolar RNA, 86 nt
Filed under: Arabidopsis thaliana x Arabidopsis arenosa
Lineage: Eukaryota; Viridiplantae; Streptophyta; Magnoliopsida; Brassicales; Brassicaceae
Description: SNORD34
Rfam family: Small nucleolar RNA SNORD34
About the family: snoRNA U34 is found in intron 5 of the ribosomal protein L13a gene in humans. U34 is a member of the C/D class of snoRNA which contain C (UGAUGA) and D (CUGA) box motifs, and functions in directing site-specific 2'-O-methylation of 25S rRNAs.
Source: RNAcentral
UAAGGCCUAUGAUGAUUCAAAUUUUGCCUACAUUGUCUGAUAAACCAAUGAUAUAACUUUUACAAAAUGUAAUUUCUGAGGCCUUU